GUGGUUGUGGCUCAGUAGUAGAGCACUUGUUUAGAAUGUGUGAGGCACUGGGUUCGAUUCUCAGCACAUAUA
Molecule: transfer RNA, 72 nt
Filed under: Ictidomys tridecemlineatus (thirteen-lined ground squirrel)
Lineage: Eukaryota; Metazoa; Chordata; Mammalia; Rodentia; Sciuridae
Description: Spermophilus tridecemlineatus (thirteen-lined ground squirrel) tRNA
Rfam family: tRNA
About the family: Transfer RNA (tRNA) molecules are approximately 80 nucleotides in length. Their secondary structure includes four short double-helical elements and three loops (D, anti-codon, and T loops). Further hydrogen bonds mediate the characteristic L-shaped molecular structure. tRNAs have two regions of fundamental functional importance: the anti-codon, which is responsible for specific mRNA codon recognition, and the 3' end, to which the tRNAs corresponding amino acid is attached (by aminoacyl-tRNA synthetases). tRNAs cope with the degeneracy of the genetic code in two manners: having more than one tRNA (with a specific anti-codon) for a particular amino acid; and 'wobble' base-pairing, i.e. permitting non-standard base-pairing at the 3rd anti-codon position.
Source: Rfam by way of RNAcentral